AGGUGAACCUGCGGAAGGAUCAUUGUCGAAAUCGAACGGAAGAACGACCCGCGAAUCGUCACCGCGUACUAGAGAGACCUCGUGGGCACCCAACGCUCACGCGGNUCGCGUCGCGUCGGCGCGGGUGUACUAGGGACCCGCGUCGUACCGGCGAACUUACAACUUCAGCACGGAUCGUGCCAAGGAGCAGCAUUUUGAGAAUCGUCGUCCCACGGCCCGAUCGUCCUCGACGCGGGACGGGGGAUGGACGCAGUCUCUGAUAAAGUCGAAACGACUCUCGGCAACGGAUAUCUCGGCUCUUGCAUCGAUGAAGAACGUAGCGAAAUGCGAUACUUGGUGUGAAUUGCAGAAUCCCGCGAACCAUCAAUUCUUUGAACGCAAGUUGCGCCCGAAGCCAUUCGGCCGAGGGCACGCCUGCCUGGGUGUCGUGAAUCCCCUUGCCCCUAGGCACCCGCACGAGCAUCGGCGGGGAUUAUAUAUGCGAGGGCGCAGAAUGUGGUCUCCCGUGGGAUCGGCAUGCGCGGCAUGCCGAGGCGCGGUUGGCCGAAAAUCGAGCAUGGCGGUGACGGGCACCACGGCGUUGGGUGGGAUCGAACGAGAUUGGCCGCGUCGUGGUCUCGGCAUGCUGCGGGCUCCGGACUUUGACAAUCCCCGAGUGCGAUCCCAGGUCAGGCGGGGCUACCCGCUGAGUUUAAG
This 696-nucleotide ribosomal RNA is filed under the name Graffenrieda galeottii. Its description in RNAcentral is "eukaryotic LSU rRNA". The stretch from base 273 to 428 matches the Rfam family "5.8S ribosomal RNA". Lineage: Eukaryota; Viridiplantae; Streptophyta; Magnoliopsida; Myrtales; Melastomataceae. The record is from RNAcentral.